RNAcentral lists this ribosomal RNA (253 nucleotides) under uncultured bacterium. RNAcentral describes it as "partial 16S ribosomal RNA". It matches the Rfam family "Bacterial small subunit ribosomal RNA", at positions 524 to 776 of the family's 1533-position model. The record is from RNAcentral.
GACAGAGGGUGCAAACGUUGUUCGGAAUUACUGGGCGUAAAGCGCGUGUAGGCGGCUCGGAAAGUCGGAUGUGAAAGCCCUGGGCUUAACCUAGGAAGUGCAUUCGAAGCUCCCGAGCUUGAGUUCUGGAGAGGAAGGCGGAAUUCUCGGUGUAGAGGUGAAAUUCGUAGAUAUCGAGAGGAACACCGGUGGCGAAGGCGGCCUUCUGGACAGUGACUGACGCUGAGACGCGAAAGCGUGGGGAGCAAACAGG